GGUGCAUCAGAGAAAGAGAUUUAGGGUUAGGAUUCCAAGUUUGAGAAGGUUCCUGAGCAGGAAAGUUAAGCUUGUUUAUGCUGCUUAUGCUAAAUUGCUGAAGAGAUGGAAAGAAAGUCAGGCUAACUUUGGUGAUCUUUUUGCUGGGAAUUAUCUGUUCUUGCAGGUGAAUCCCAAUUCAUUGAAGCGUUUUGAGAAAGCAUAUCAUAGAACUACUACUGGCUUGUGUCCCAGCUAAUCUCUGCCAAGAAUUGCUUAAUUAAUAUU
This 267-nucleotide unclassified non-coding RNA is filed under the name Hevea brasiliensis (rubber tree). The record is from RNAcentral. Lineage: Eukaryota; Viridiplantae; Streptophyta; Magnoliopsida; Malpighiales; Euphorbiaceae.